AUUCAGCUGACGAGUCCGAUGUAGGACGAAACACGCGUCCUGGAU
Molecule: non-coding RNA, 45 nt
Organism: Schistosoma haematobium
Lineage: Eukaryota; Metazoa; Platyhelminthes; Trematoda; Strigeidida; Schistosomatidae
Source: Rfam